RNAcentral lists this ribosomal RNA (440 nucleotides) under uncultured bacterium. RNAcentral's name for it is "partial 16S ribosomal RNA". It matches the Rfam family "Bacterial small subunit ribosomal RNA", at positions 338 to 795 of the family's 1533-position model. The record is from RNAcentral.
CCUACGGGUGGCAGCAGUAGGGAAUUUUGCGCAAUGGGGGAAACCCUGAAGCAGCAACACCGCGUGAAUGUUAAGCCCUUUGGGGUUUAAAAUUCUGUUAUUUGGGACGAAUUACGACUGUACCUAUAAACUAACCAACGUCCAACACCGUGACGGCAGCCCCGGUAAUAUGCCGGGUGCAAGCGUUGUCCGGAAUCUUUGGGCGUAAAGCGUUCGUAGGCGGUAUGUCAAGUCUGAUGUUAAAGCCCGGGGCUCAACUCCGGUUCGGCAUUGGAUACUGGCACACUAGAAUGUGGUAGAGGUAGAGGGAAUUCGUGGUGUAGCGGUGAAAUGCUUAGAUAUCAGGAGGAACACCGGUGGCGAAAGCGCUUUACUGGACCAUUACUGACGCUGAGGAACGAAAGCGAGGGGAGCGAAUGGGAUUAGAUACCCUGGUAGUC